This is a non-coding RNA of Pelobates cultripes (western spadefoot toad), 395 nucleotides long. The record is from the annotation of a GenBank genome assembly. NCBI's taxonomy places the organism in Eukaryota, Metazoa, Chordata, Amphibia, Anura, Pelobatidae.
CAAAAAUUAUAUUAACCUGCUUAUUUUCAGCCUGCACAGUGAGGCAACUGUCUUAAUUAAAGCCAAAGUUUUUUGAUGAGACGGUUGUAUCAAAAUUAUGUAUGUCCGUUUAAUGACUGCUGAUGGAAUUAUUCUAUGCCUGAUAUCUAUAGCUUUACAUAUCAAGACAAAACAAUCAUCUGUGCCUUAACAGGUCUUAAAAUUGGGUAAAUACAACAUCAGAUGACACAUGACAUUACACUUAGUGUCAUGUUUUAGUUAACAAAUAUAAAGCCAAAAUGGAGAACCAAUGUCCUUAUGAUUCAAUAGCUUGUUAAACUACCUUUAGCAGCAAUAACUUGAAAUAAGUUUUCUGUAUAAGAAACCUCAAUGUAAAAGUGUGCUCUGUCUUUAAG